Molecule: ribosomal RNA, 443 nt
Filed under: uncultured bacterium
Lineage: Bacteria
Description: partial 16S ribosomal RNA
Rfam family: Bacterial small subunit ribosomal RNA
Source: RNAcentral
CCUACGGGAGGCAGCAGUGGGGAAUAUUGGGCAAUGGGCGCAAGCCUGACCCAGCAACGCCGCGUGAAGGAAGAAGGCUUUCGGGUUUUAAACUUCUUUUGUCAUGGACGAAGCAAGUGACGGUACCUGACGAAUAAGCCACGGCUAACUACGUGCCAGCAGCCGCGGUAAUACUUAGGUGGUAAGCCUUAUCCGGUGUUACUGGGUGUAAGGGGCGUGUAGGCGGGACUGCAAGUCAGAGUUGAAAACCACGGGCUCAACCUGUGGCCUGAAUUUGAAACUGGAGUUCUUGAGUACUGGAGAGGCAGACGGAAUUCCUGGUGUAGCGGUGAAAUGCGUAGAUAUUAGGAGGAACACCAGUGGCGAAGGCGGUCUGCUGGACAGUAACUGACGCUGAGGCGCGAAAGCGUGGGGAGCAAACAGGAUUAGAUACCCCGGUAGUC